CUGUUGUGUUGUGAUAAAGAGUUUGUGAAAGAGCGUUCUCUGGUGGGGAAAGUGGAUGCGGACGGGAAGAUCAAGCACAAGUGGGAGAACCUCAAACAAAAAUACAAGGGUGGUUCGAGUGGUCAUCACCCUGGUCAUGGAAGACCCCCUCCUCCACCUCUGGCUCCACCAAAUCCCCAUUGUUGAUGGAGAGGUUGUGGAGGAAGACACAGGUCGACACCACUGCAGGAACAAAGGGCCUUGAGGAAGAUGCUGCGCCACCGCGUCUUCAUCAUGCCAACUGCCCUUUCCACCACACACCGUGCUUUGGCAUGAUG
Non-coding RNA from Labrus bergylta (ballan wrasse), 317 nucleotides. Lineage: Eukaryota; Metazoa; Chordata; Actinopteri; Labriformes; Labridae. The record is from RefSeq and is a predicted model, not a curated record.